UGGGGAAUAUUGGACAAUGGGCGCAAGCCUGAUCCAGCCAUGCCGCGUGAGUGAUGAAGGCCUUAGGGUUGUAAAGCUCUUUUAUCCGGGACGAUAAUGACGGUACCGGAAGAAUAAGCCCCGGCUAACUUCGUGCCAGCAGCCGCGGUAAUACGAAGGGGGCUAGCGUUGCUCGGAAUCACUGGGCGUAAAGGGCGCGUAGGCGGACAUUUAAGUCAGGGGUGAAAUCCCGGGGCUCAACCUCGGAAUUGCCUUUGAUACUGGGUGUCUCGAGACCGGAAGAGGUAAGUGGAACUGCGAGUGUAGAGGUGAAAUACGUAGAGAUUGGGAAGAACACCAGUGGCGAAGGCGGUCUCUUGGUCCGACACUGACGCUGAGGCGCGAAAGCGUGGGGAGCAAACA
RNAcentral lists this ribosomal RNA (402 nucleotides) under uncultured bacterium. Its description in RNAcentral is "bacterial SSU rRNA". It matches the Rfam family "Bacterial small subunit ribosomal RNA", at positions 355 to 774 of the family's 1533-position model. The record is from RNAcentral.